AUGACUCUUCCCUGCCUCCUCCAGAAAAGCAAGUGCGCACAUCUUGCCCUAAGAAGAACUCGGGGUGCCCUGGGCGUUGACCAGGUCCUGCAGCAUCAGGCGUUCGGACAUUUUAAACUCGUAUUUCAGUGUGUCUACCUUGAAUCCAGCUAAGAAACACCCUCGGUACAGGUGCUGUGCAGUUAGCUUCCUGUGCUUAUGGAAAAGCUUCACCACACAAGUAAACAGUGUGCGUUUCCAGACGCUAUGAGUCGUCCACCAUCUGAAGACAAAGCAGAGAGUGACAAAUCACCUUUGUCAGCAGGACCUUGCCAGAGAGAUCAGUGUCCCUGCACUAAUCACAUGUGGAUAGGUUCACGGAGAAACACUUUGGGGAGAAGGCUUUCUGCAGCGUGGGAGCUGCAUUUCUAAGCUGCGGGCGAGUCACUGCCAUUCUCUGUAGCCCUUGUCAUUUGCCCUCAAGACCACAGUCUGACCCGGCAACCCUUGUGGCGACAGCACACCUUUCAGACCUUGGUGAGCUGCUUCUGACCCACAAUCUGAAUCGCUGUGAUGAGUUGUGCGUGGUGACGGCCAGUGAAUGAAUGGAAAAGAACACAAGGGCAAGAAGCCAGGAGACCGGCACAGGCACUCAGACCUCUGCUCUGGGGCUGCCAUCUGAAUGGGCAGCUGGACUUGAUAAUCUUUGCUGGCACGGGUGACCUGUUUGUGACGUUGUGGAAUAAGUCAUAUGAUGAAGAAGCAAACAUUCCAUUGCAUCUGGACCUGGGAGCUCUGAGUGUCCUGAGCAUCCUACCCUGGUGACAUGACCUGCCUUCCUGGCUCUCCUGUGUGAAGUUGCUCUCCAUUCCCCUGCUCAUAAGUAGCUGUAUAAACUGAAUAUAUCCUUUUACUAAUUUUUGUGCGUGUGGGUGGUAAGAAUACAAAGAAAUUGCUUAAGAA
RNAcentral lists this long non-coding RNA (942 nucleotides) under Mus musculus (house mouse). RNAcentral describes it as "long non-protein coding RNA, Trp53 induced transcript". The record is from RNAcentral. Lineage: Eukaryota; Metazoa; Chordata; Mammalia; Rodentia; Muridae.